GAAAUGAAAGUGGCGAACGGGUGAGUAACACGUGAGCAACCUACCUUACACAGAGGGAUAGCCGUUGGAAACGACGAUUAAUACCGCAUGAGACCACAGAAUCGCAUGAUAUAGGGGUCAAAGAUUUAUCGGUGUAAGAAGGGCUCGCGUCUGAUUAGCUAGUUGGAAGGGUAAAGGCCUACCAAGGCGACGAUCAGUAGCCGGUCUGAGAGGAUGAACGGCCACAUUGGAACUGAGACACGGUCCAAACUCCUACGGGAGGCAGCAGUGGGGAAUAUUGCACAAUGGGGGGAACCCUGAUGCAGCGACGCCGCGUGAGCGAAGAAGGUUUUCGAAUCGUAAAGCUCUGUCCUAUGAGAAGAUAAUGACGGUAUCAUAGGAGGAAGCCCCGGCUAAAUACGUGCCAGCAGCCGCGGUAAUACGUAUGGGGCGAGCGUUGUCCGGAAUUAUUGGGCGUAAAGGGUACGUAGGCGGUUUUUUAAGUCAGGUGUGAAAGCGUGAGGCUUAACCUCAUUAAGCACUUGAAACUGGAAGACUUGAGUGAAGGAGAGGAAAGUGGAAUUCCUAGUGUAGCGGUGAAAUGCGUAGAUAUUAGGAGGAAUACCGGUGGCGAAGGCGACUU
This 622-nucleotide ribosomal RNA is filed under the name uncultured Clostridium sp. RNAcentral describes it as "bacterial SSU rRNA". It matches the Rfam family "Bacterial small subunit ribosomal RNA", at positions 86 to 727 of the family's 1533-position model. Lineage: Bacteria; Bacillati; Bacillota; Clostridia; Eubacteriales; Clostridiaceae. The record is from RNAcentral.